Molecule: non-coding RNA, 72 nt
Organism: Bos taurus (domestic cattle)
Lineage: Eukaryota; Metazoa; Chordata; Mammalia; Artiodactyla; Bovidae
Source: Rfam
UCCCUGGUGGCUCAGUGGUAAAGAAUCCGCCUGCCAAUGCGGGAGACACAGGUUUGAUCCCUGAUCUGGGAA